AUCCCUGCCAAAAUGGCUCAGUGUGUCUGGCUGUUAACCAGAACGUUGGUGGUUCAAACCCACCAAGGGAUG
Molecule: non-coding RNA, 72 nt
Organism: Podarcis lilfordi (Lilford's wall lizard)
Lineage: Eukaryota; Metazoa; Chordata; Lepidosauria; Squamata; Lacertidae
Source: the annotation of a GenBank genome assembly